GUUUGCCCUUGGGGGCGAUCGGAGCCCUGGGUCUCCCGGGCAUUGGUGCGCAACCCCUGCUUCUGCAGCAGCUGAACGGUGGUGGAGGCAGGCGAGGCCCGUCCAGCAGGUCUUCUGCGAAAGCGGGGCAGCAGGAGAAGAUGUCCCUGCCUUUUCUCAGUGCAGACGAUGUGGCAAACCCACAGGAGUUCAUAGAGACAGCCAACCGCCGAGAUGAGCC
RNAcentral lists this ribosomal RNA (220 nucleotides) under Karenia brevis. RNAcentral describes it as "partial Archaeal small subunit ribosomal RNA". Lineage: Eukaryota; Dinophyceae; Gymnodiniales; Kareniaceae. The record is from RNAcentral.